This 488-nucleotide ribosomal RNA is filed under the name uncultured bacterium. RNAcentral's name for it is "partial 16S ribosomal RNA". It matches the Rfam family "Bacterial small subunit ribosomal RNA", at positions 30 to 507 of the family's 1533-position model. The record is from RNAcentral.
UGAACGCUAGCUACAGGCUUACCACAUGCAAGUCGAGGGGAAACGAUGAGAGAGCUUGCUCUCUUAGGCGUCGACCGGCGCACGGGUGAGUAACGCGUAUCCAACCUACCCAUUACAGGGGGAUAACCUUGCGAAAGUAAGACUAAUACCCCAUGGCAUUUUAUGGUGGCAUCAUUAUAGGAUUAAAGAUUUAUUGGUAAUGGAUGGGGAUGCGUCUGAUUAGCUUGUUGGCGGGGUAACGGCCCACCAAGGCAACGAUCAGUAGGGGUUCUGAGAGGAAGGUCCCCCACAUUGGAACUGAGACACGGUCCAAACUCCUACGGGAGGCAGCAGUGAGGAAUAUUGGUCAAUGGGCGAGAGCUUGAACCAGCCAAGUAGCGUGCAGGAUGACGGCCCUAUGGGUUGUAAACUGCUUUUAUAGGGGAAUAAAGUGAGCUACGUGUAGUUUAUUGCAUGUACCCUAUGAAUAAGGACCGGCUAAUUCCGUG